GCGGCGCGCUUAACACAUGCAAGUCGAGCGAUGAAACUUUAACAGAACCCUUCGGGGCGAAGAUAAAGUGGAUUAGCGGCGGACGGGUGAGUAACACGUGAGUAACCUGCCUUAGACAUUGGGAUAGCCUCGGGAAACCGGGAUUAAUACCAAAUAAAAUCAUAAUGACACAUGUCAUAACGAUCAAAACUCCGGUGGUCUAAGAUGGACUCGCGUCCCAUUAGCUAGUUGGUAGAGUAAAAGCCUACCAAGGCGACGAUGGGUAGCCGGCCUGAGAGGGUGAACGGCCACAUUGGAACCGAGAAACGGUCCAAACUCCUACGGGAGGCAGCAGUGGGGAAUAUUGCACAAUGGAGGGAACUCUGAUGCAGCGACGCCGCGUGAACGAAGAAGGCUUUCGAGUCGUAUAGCUCUUUUAUAUGGGAAGAUAAUGACGGUACCAUAAGAAAAAGCCCCGGCUAACUACGUGCCAGCAGCCGCGGUAAUACGUAGGGGGCUAGCGUUGUCCGGAAUCACUGGGCGUAAAGGGUUCGCAGGCGGAAAUGCAAGUCAGAUGUAAAAGGCAGUAGCUUAACUACUGUAAGCAUUUGAAACUGCAUAUCUUGAGAAGAGUAGAGGUAAGUGGAAUUUUUAGUGUAGCGGUGAAAUGCGUAGAUAUUAAAAAGAAUACCGGUGACGAAGGCGACUUACUGGGCUCAUUCUGACGCUGAGGAACGAAAGCGUGGGUAGCAAACAGGA
RNAcentral lists this ribosomal RNA (738 nucleotides) under uncultured Eubacteriales bacterium. RNAcentral's name for it is "bacterial SSU rRNA". It matches the Rfam family "Bacterial small subunit ribosomal RNA", at positions 39 to 777 of the family's 1533-position model. Lineage: Bacteria; Bacillati; Bacillota; Clostridia; Eubacteriales. The record is from RNAcentral.